This 448-nucleotide ribosomal RNA is filed under the name uncultured bacterium. Its description in RNAcentral is "SSU rRNA". It matches the Rfam family "Bacterial small subunit ribosomal RNA", at positions 26 to 518 of the family's 1533-position model. The record is from RNAcentral.
AGAGCGAACGCUGGCGGCAGGCUUAACACAUGCAAGUCGAGCGGAUGUAGCAAUACAUCAGCGGCAGACGGGUGAGUAGCACGUGGGAACGUACCUUUUGGUUCGGAACAACACAGGGAAACUUGUGCUAAUACCGGAUAAGCCCUUACGGGGAAAGAUUUAUCGCCGAAAGAUCGGCCCGCGUCUGAUUAGCUAGUUGGUGAGGUAACGGCUCACCAAGGCGACGAUCAGUAGCUGGUCUGAGAGGAUGAUCAGCCACAUUGGGACUGAGACACGGCCCAAACUCCUACGGGAGGCAGCAGUGGGGAAUAUUGGACAAUGGGCGCAAGCCUGAUCCAGCCAUGCCGCAUGAGUGAUGAAGGCCCUAGGGUUGUAAAGCUCUUUUGUGCGGGAAGAUAAUGACGGUACCGCAAGAAUAAGCCCCGGCUAACUUCGUGCCAGCAGCCGC